Anolis carolinensis (green anole) is the source of this 1193-nucleotide long non-coding RNA. RefSeq lists it as uncharacterized. The record is from RefSeq and is a predicted model, not a curated record. NCBI's taxonomy places the organism in Eukaryota, Metazoa, Chordata, Lepidosauria, Squamata, Anolidae. The transcript is spliced from 3 exons.
AUGGUACACAACGGAGGAUGUGAAGACUACAAGCCUGGUUUGUGCCCAGCGAACAACAGCCUGCAAGAAGAAGUCCAGAAGGUUCCUGACAAGCUGGAGAAAAGGGAAUGGGGUUCCACGACUUCGAAGCCAAGGCGCAAAACUGGCCCCCAAAAUGCCGGAGGCGAUCCUUUGCUGAGCGCUUCACCCUCGCGUUUCUCAGCCCGCGUUCAAGCCCGGGAUCCGGACCGAGGAGGAAAGGAGGCGGCGGCGGGAGAAGGAGGCCAGGAAGGAGUCCAAGGGUCCGAAGGGGAGGGAAGAGGCCGCAGAUUCAAAACCGUUAGGUCUCUUCUCCCCGCGCCCGCUCCAUCCCCGUUACGCGCCGUCCCUCCCCUUUACGGUUUCUUUUUCCACAUCUCUUCCUGUCCAAACAUUUUUAAAUUUCCGCGCCUUCCCCAACAGUCUGGUUUGUUGUUUACUGCGUUUCCUCCGAGGCCUUUCAGGUCGAAGCCCCUUCUGGCGCCGGACAAGAGAGAGAGAGAGAUUGAGAGAGAGAGACCCCAAAGGACGCGCCCUCGCCCACCGGGAUACUGCUACUGCUGCUGCUUCCUCCUCCUCUUCUUCCAGAAAGACCCCGAUCCCCCUCGAAACCUCCCCCCAGCUCGGUCAAAAAUGCCGGAAACGCUCCUAAGGAGAAAUACUCCAUCCCUUCGCCGUUUUCUUUCCUCGGAGAGGAUGCCGGAGGGGAAAAGGCGGCGGCGGCGGCGACUGCGCCUUUGCGCGCUCCUGGCAAGCUCUUGCCUUUCUUCCUGGAAAAGCCUCCCUUCGCCAAAGAGCCAAAGGCAGCUUGCGCAUCAGGGCUCCAGAACGUGGGUUUGGAGGCCCAGCGUGUCAAGAUCCCAAAGGACCUAAUAAGACUCAGACGGGAUGAAGGCAAAGAACUGAGGCAUUUAUUCAACUUGGCCGAAACAGAUGUCAACAGAGUCUGUGCUUCAAAAAUGGACAAAAGUGCAAUUGCAAACAUACAGAUUUAUUUAUAGCAUUUUGACAGCUAUUCAAAACAAAGACUUUGCUGCACUGGCCACUAAUUGGUCCAGAUCGGUGCCAGCUAGAAUCCACUCACUGAUAGGAGCAGGAGCACCAUUUGUCAUUGCUGUUGAUUGGUUUGCAAAUGUGGCACAAAAUUUAAUAAACUGUCAUUGCUUGAUUUGAAA